RNAcentral lists this ribosomal RNA (636 nucleotides) under Cladosporium sphaerospermum. RNAcentral describes it as "partial 28S ribosomal RNA". It matches the Rfam family "Eukaryotic large subunit ribosomal RNA", at positions 1 to 656 of the family's 3401-position model. Lineage: Eukaryota; Fungi; Ascomycota; Dothideomycetes; Cladosporiales; Cladosporiaceae. The record is from RNAcentral.
GUUGACCUCGGAUCAGGUAGGGAUACCCGCUGAACUUAAGCAUAUCAAUAAGCGGAGGAAAAGAAACCAACAGGGAUUGCUCUAGUAACGGCGAGUGAAGCAGCAAUAGCUCAAAUUUGAAAUCUGGCGUCUUCGGCGUCCGAGUUGUAAUUUGUAGAGGAUGCUUCUGGGCAGCCACCGACCUAAGUUCCUUGGAACAGGACGUCAUAGAGGGUGAGAAUCCCGUAUGCGGUCGGAAAGGCACCCUACACGUAGCUCCUUCGACGAGUCGAGUUGUUUGGGAAUGCAGCUCUAAAUGGGAGGUAAAUUUCUUCUAAAGCUAAAUAUUGGCCAGAGACCGAUAGCGCACAAGUAGAGUGAUCGAAAGAUGAAAAGCACUUUGGAAAGAGAGUUAAAAAGCACGUGAAAUUGUUGAAAGGGAAGGGAUUGCAACCAGACUUGCUCGCGGUGUUCCGCCGGUCUUCUGACCGGUUUACUCGCCGCGUUGCAGGCCAGCAUCGUCUGGUGCCGCUGGAUAAGACUGGAGGAAUGUAGCUCCCUCGGGAGUGUUAUAGCCUCUAGUGAUGCAGCGAGCGCCGGGCGAGGUCCGCGCUUCGGCUAGGAUGCUGGCGUAAUGGUCGUAAUCCGCCCGUCUUG